AAUCCUUUAUUCUAGUCUCCUCCAUCAGUCUCGCCCUCUCUUCUAGUUUCCUCCAUCAGGCUCCUCCACUCUUCUGGUCUCCUCCACCAGUCUCCUCCUCUCUUCUAGUCUCCUUCAUCAGUCUCCUCCUCUCCUCUCUUCUAGUCUCCUCCAUCAGUAUCCUCCUCUCCUCUCUUCUAGUCUCCUCCAUCAGUCUCCUCCUCUCCUCUCUUCUAGUCUCAUCCAUCAGGCUCCUCCUCUCCUUUAUUCUAGUCUCCUCCAUCAAUCUCCUCCUCUCCUCUCUUCUAGUCUCCUCCAUCAGUAUCCUCCUCUCCUCUCUUCUAGUCUCCUCCAUCAGUCUCCUCCUCUCCUCUCUUCUAGUCUCAUCCAUCAGGCUCCUCCUCUCCUUUAUUCUAGUCUCCUCCAUCAAUCUCCUACUCUCCUCUCUUCUAGUCUCCUCCAUCAGGCUCCUUCUCUUCUGUCUUCUAGUCUCCUUAAUCAGUCUCCUCUCCUUUAUUCUGGUCUCGUCCAUCAGGCUCCUCCUCUCCUUUAUUCUAGUCUCCUCCAUCAGUCUCCUCCUCUCCUCUCUUCUAGUCUCAUCCAUCAGGCUCCUCCUCUCCUUUAUUCUAGUCUCCUCCAUCAAUCUCCUCCUCUCCUCUCUUCUAGUCUCCUCCAUCAGUAUCCUCCUCUCCUCUCUUCUAGUCUCCUCCAUCAGUCUCCUCCUCUCCUCUCUUCUAGUCUCAUCCAUCAGGCUCCUCCUCUCCUUUAUUCUAGUCUCCUACAUCAGUCUCCUCCUCUCCUUUAUUCAAGUGUCCUCCAUCAGUCUCAUCCUCUCC
Molecule: long non-coding RNA, 815 nt
Organism: Oncorhynchus tshawytscha (Chinook salmon)
Lineage: Eukaryota; Metazoa; Chordata; Actinopteri; Salmoniformes; Salmonidae
Source: Ensembl